RNAcentral lists this ribosomal RNA (429 nucleotides) under Bacteroidota bacterium. Its description in RNAcentral is "Bacteroidetes bacterium partial 16S ribosomal RNA". It matches the Rfam family "Bacterial small subunit ribosomal RNA", at positions 355 to 776 of the family's 1533-position model. Lineage: Bacteria; Pseudomonadati; Bacteroidota. The record is from RNAcentral.
UAGGGAAUCUUCGGCAAUGGGGGGAACCCUGACCGAGCAACGCCGCGUGAGUGAAGAAGGUUUUCGGAUCGUAAAGCUCUGUUGUUAAGGAAGAACGAGUGUGAGAAUGGAAAGUUCAUGCUGUGACGGUACUUAACCAGAAAGGGACGGCUAACUACGUGCCAGCAGCCGCGGUAAUACGUAGGUCCCGAGCGUUGUCCGGAUUUAUUGGGCGUAAAGCGAGCGCAGGCGGUUAGAAAAGUCUGAAGUGAAAGGCAGUAGCUCAACCAUUGUAGGCUUUGGAAACUGUUUAACUUGAGUGCAGAAGGGGAGAGUGGAAUUCCAUGUGUAGCGGUGAAAUGCGUAGAUAUAUGGAGGAACACCGGUGGCGAAAGCGGCUCUCUGGUCUGUAACUGACGCUGAGGCUCGAAAGCGUGGGUAGCAAACAGG